GGUGUGGAAAAGCUGGGCACCGAGAAUUGGGGGUGGGUGAAGGAACCCAUGGCGGGAGGGUGGAGACGCGAGGGUGACCAGCAUGGCAGGCCGGGUGUGGGGGGAGAGCGGGCACCGGGUGUGUGGGGGUGGAAGGCUGGAACAGGUGGAGGGGGCGCCAGGUGCUCCGGAAAGGAGCGCUCUGUACUGGGGCGCCGGCCGGUGGUAGCGGCGGUGGCCUGGGUUUCGCUACCACCGCGGACUGCGGCUCCUCUCCCACCUUCGGCCAGAGCCCCCUGAGCCACCAUCCCCGGGGAGACGGCUGCCCCUUUCCCCAAUCCAACAGCGGUGCGGCGGCCGCCGAACCUCGGCCCCGGGAGGACGUCCUUGUGACAGCUUGUUGGGGCCGAAGGGCCGUGAUCCUACACACUUAAGGCCCAAGGGCCCCAGGGUGCCCUCCGCCCUGCCCCCAGGAUACGUGCGUCCCCUCUUUUGUCUCCGCCAAGGGCCGCUCGCUCCCUUUCUCUGUGGCUGCGGCAUCCGGGGACCGGGCCACCUCGGGGCCUCCACCGCCCUGCCCGACCCUGUCCAAGAGUCCACAGCUCUCCGGCUGGUACCCAGGACCCCUCCUCCCGCGGCUUUUGUUCCUUGGGAGCCUGUGGGUUGGGUGUGGCUGGCUGGCCGCGCAGGGUGGACGGUCCAGCGAUCAGAAGAGGGUGGGGUUCGGAGGCGGGGCUGCGGCAGAACAAAGACCUGGAAAACGUGUGGGCCACCUCCCACGACCGAGCGUUUGACAGUCACCCUGGGUUCCGUUCAUCUUUUGUCCACUAAGGGGACGGGUCCCCAGACGCCCCCUGCCCCACCGCUGACAUUCUCAUCAUCCACCAGGCGCCGGAAGCCGAGGCGGCCACGAGGUCCCCAAUCUUGGUGCUGCCCAUGCGGGCGAGGGGCCCGCCUGGAGACUGCAGCACGGGCGGGCGGGGGCCGCGCGCGACCCUGACGGUCCAUGGCGCGAGUGCGCGGACGCGGCCCCGACACGCCUUCAAACCUACAAUUUCUAGGGAGUCCAAGAAGGAGCAGAUCUCUUUGUUACUUUUCGUGUGUGUGUGUGUGUGUGUGUGUGUGUGUGUGUAAGUGUAAGAGAGAGCGCGCUGGAACCUGGUCCCCGCAAUUCCGUGG
Molecule: long non-coding RNA, 1158 nt
Organism: Bos indicus x Bos taurus (hybrid cattle)
Lineage: Eukaryota; Metazoa; Chordata; Mammalia; Artiodactyla; Bovidae
Source: Ensembl